UAAACUAUGGUUUGAUCAUGUGGUCGCACUGUGUUCAGUCAGAUGUCUGUUAGAAGGAGGAAGUCAGUUCAGUCUCAAAGAUUUAUCACAGCUCUGAGGAUGUCGAGGAUUGUUUCCUGUCUGUUCUGUGUCUUAAGACUGUGUGUUGGAACUGAGGCUUUGACAGAGACACUGGUAGAACUCGGACACAAUGCAACCCUGAACUGUUCUCUAAAUGUAACUAAUGUACAUUGGUACAUUCAGCACCACCCACAGCCUCCACUGGUCCUACUCCGCUCUUUCAUUAGUGGUAGUCCUUUUGCUUUUUAUUAUAAUAAUAAUACUACUUUUAGACAGAAAUAUUCAUUAGAAACAGGAAAUAGAUUGUUAAUACAGAAUGUAACAGUAGAUGAUUGUGGAGUGUACUACUGUACAAAGAAAGAAAAGGAUUUUAUCCUUUUCAGUAACGGCACCAGACUCAUGACAACUGGUCUUGAAUCAAUCAAUGAAACAACAAACACAAGUUUGAAGCUCCUUGAUCCUAAAGCUUCAGAGCAACCCAGAGACUUCAACACAACAUGGCUAAAGGGUCUUCUCAUUGGAUCCGGGGUCUUAAAUGCAGUGCUCAUUUUAUUGCUGUCAGCCAUUUCAGUGCUGUGGAAGAGAGCUGCUUGCCAGAAGAACCAUGACUCUCCUCCAACCCCUGAACCACCUGAAAGGGCAGACAGGCCAGAGUAUGAAGUGAUACAGCUGGUUCAGACACCAAGAGGACCAAGGCCCAACCACAUAGCCUCAACCAUUUACUCCAGAGUCCAAUUUCCAAAUCCUGAACUCUCAACUACUGCUUAAUAAGGUGCCACAUCUUGACUUUGGUGGAUAAUGUGAAUCUACUCUGAAUAUUCCUAUAUUUGUAUAAUGUGUAUAAUGCUGCUCUUCGUCACUAUCGUCUAUAUUCCAGUCAGCAAUAUCUUUGAAGGAACUUGUUACCUUUGUGUCUUGUUUCAUGUUUUUCAUUGUUCAUUGCUGGAAAUACAUGUUCGUUAGUGCCUGUCUUGAAAGUAAAUUGUUGCUUUUUUUUGUGAAGCAGUUAGGAAGAGGUUUGUGUAUUUCUGUAGAAAAAGCCCCCAAGCAUUUUGUAGUGUAUUGAUGCAGCAUCAACCACACAUCCUGUAUGAGAGCUUAAAGCUUACUGAGCAGCACGCAUGUCCCAAUUACUGUACAAUUUACCUUUUUUAAUAAUGACUUUUUCAAACAUUAAACUACAGUUUUGAAUUUGAAGUUCAUUAAAAAGCCUACUGCAUGUGCCCCAUAACACCUUUGUGAGUAGAAUGUAGUGGUUUGUAUAUUUUUGUUGUUUAAGUUCAGACCACUGUAAAAAAGAUAAUGUCAGUGUAUUGCACUUUUUUCAAACAUUAUCUCAGUGUUUACUCUUCAUGGAAAUAAAAUCUCUGUUUUGGAAUCAA
This is a long non-coding RNA of Salmo salar (Atlantic salmon), 1442 nucleotides long. RefSeq lists it as uncharacterized. The record is from RefSeq and is a predicted model, not a curated record. Lineage: Eukaryota; Metazoa; Chordata; Actinopteri; Salmoniformes; Salmonidae.